CGUUGUGCAACGAUCAUGUGAAAAUUUUUGGGAAGUGAAUUUCUGAAUUGUGGGAAAUAAGUUUAGACUAUUUUAGGCAAAUAUAAAAUGAAAUUCACUAUUACGCAGGUCCUUUACUAUUGCAUUAAUUCUAGCUGCCUAAAACAUUGAUGCCUGCGUGAGCGGCUGUUAGUUCCAUCUGCAGCCAGUUUCAUCGUUCUUGUUGACCGGUAAACAUGUCUAUUGAAAGCUUGGUGCAGGACAUUGGAAAGAAGCAGUACACGCAGUUGUUGUGAAGAAGUUGUAAAUAAAAAACAAAUUACGAAUUAAAAUCGACUUGAAAACGAUAUUAAAUCUGCAAAGACAUUAAGAUGUCAACUAAUAACAGAAAUAUAUUAAAAGUCACGAUAUAAAAGUGUAAUCAAUUUUAAUUGUUCUUGUAGAAAUACAAGUAUAACAUGUUUAUGUCUUAAGCUCAUGUAACAAAAGUAUACAAAGGUGUAAGAUUAUAAUACAAAUUUCGAUCCAGUCAUUAGUUUUAUAGAAUCCAGAGUCUUCUGCUUUGGUUAGUCAUUAUUCACUACUUGUCCGUGCAUACAAUUUGAAGCCAACAUCACAACUUACUCCAGUGAGUUUUUGGUGACCAAUCGGAAAAAAUCCAUACGCCGUACAGUAAAAUGGUUUUUGCGCCCUCAUGAUGAUCAGGUUUAUGUAAACCCUCAGCUUGUAGUCUUUUAUUGUCCAAUUUAAGUUGUAUACAGCAUCAGCCAGAGACCUUGUCUGUUAAACAGAAUUUUAAAUAUACAUUUAUACUUGUCGCUAAUAUUUCACUAAUGGCAAUAAGCUGAUUAGCUGGCGCACCUCUUCGGUUAGCUUCUCGGCGAAAAUGCAGAAAAAAAAUAUUUGAAAUAGUGUUAUCAACAGCAUUGUGAAGUAGAUACCUGUAUCCAAGUAAGCUUUUUCUGAAAUCGUCUAAAAUUAUUUGUACUGUUUCAUCUUAUGAUUCCAAAAUAUUAUUCUAAAUUGUUCAUUAAAA
Nasonia vitripennis (jewel wasp) is the source of this 1015-nucleotide long non-coding RNA. RefSeq lists it as uncharacterized. Lineage: Eukaryota; Metazoa; Arthropoda; Insecta; Hymenoptera; Pteromalidae. The record is from RefSeq and is a predicted model, not a curated record. The transcript has 3 exons.